RNAcentral lists this ribosomal RNA (131 nucleotides) under Hygrophorus saxatilis. Its description in RNAcentral is "partial 28S ribosomal RNA". It matches the Rfam family "Eukaryotic large subunit ribosomal RNA", at positions 1 to 132 of the family's 3401-position model. The record is from RNAcentral. Lineage: Eukaryota; Fungi; Basidiomycota; Agaricomycetes; Agaricales; Hygrophoraceae.
GACCUCAAAUCAGGUAGGACUACCCGCUGAACUUAAGCAUAUCAAUAAGCGGAGGAAAAGAAACUAACAAGGAUUCCCCUAGUAACUGCGAGUGAAGCGGGAAAAGCUCACAUUUAAAAUCUGGCAGUUUC